Long non-coding RNA from Brienomyrus brachyistius, 1683 nucleotides. RefSeq lists it as uncharacterized. Lineage: Eukaryota; Metazoa; Chordata; Actinopteri; Osteoglossiformes; Mormyridae. The record is from RefSeq and is a predicted model, not a curated record. The transcript has 3 exons.
UCAGUGAAGAACAGGAAUAUUCCGGUUUUUCCAGGUUGCCUGAAAAAAUGUAGUCACGUAGUUUUCUUAGACGGUGAACAAGCUGUAUUACAAAGAGCAAAAAGUUUUUUCUUUUGGAGAUACACCGAAAUAUUAAAGAAAUAUUCAGAGAGCGAGACAACAUUGGUUGUGAUGGCUGAACGUUUUUUCCUGCUACUAGUCACCCAUGAGGCACGGAGCAGCCGCGUGAGCACAUUUUGACCAGAGGUCAGGUCCUUUUAGCGGGAACCUAAACUUCCUGGAGCUGCAUUCGAAUAUCGUUGGAUGUCGAUGGUGAGUCACCCAAGGAACUAAACCGAUUCUUGUGUUGACAACUCAUAUUCAUUUAACUACCGGAUUUGUGGUAGGACUGUUAAAUUGUUUUAUGCAGUUUACGUAACUAAUUUGUAUUUCAUUUAAGUUGUUAUAUACUUACCCUUUCUUCACCUGAGUGGAGUUGGACUAAGAAGGGUAAUCAAAAAACAUAUUGGAACUGGUGAACCUAAAUCUAAAAACAUCCCUAAGUCUAAUCUACGGCCAAUUACAAUUUAAUCUUGACGUAAUUGGUUAUUGAUUCUAAAUUUAGCUAUGAAAGUCUAAACAUACAGUAACUAAACCUAAAAUAGGGUAAAUUGGUUAAAGAGGAAUUUAAAUCUAGUUUUAAUCAGAGAAACUAAGGGUAUAAAACUGAAGCUCACAGAUUCAGUUAAUGUGUAUUAUGUUUGGUUGUGCAUUUUAUUUUCUGUGUAUGUCUUUCCAUUUUUCAUCCCUAUCCAUAAAGCUGGAACUGGCGUGGACAGGAAGUUGGGGGAGGUACUCAAUGGUAGGGCUUCACUGCACUUACUCAGUACUUCCUCUACAGCUCUCUGUGUAGAAAAAUAGAGUUUUCAGUUACCAUGGCAUUCACAAGGUCCAAGGAGGACGACACUAAUUCAGUAUACCCCAGCUUUAUCCAUGCAAAACACCAAGACAAGCUUAAGCUACAGAAUGGUAACAGAGAUGGGACAGGACAAGGAUUCACUAUUGUGAAUAGCACAUCUUUACCUCAACCGCUUUGACCAACUCGACCAGGUCAAUUUGGCGUGACUCCACAGGCUGGGGGAUCUCAAGACUGCUCUGCUUUGCAUCCUCCAGUAAAGGCUCAACUGCGAGAAAGCAUGGAUUUGCCAGGUCAAGCGUCUGAGCCUGAGGAACUGAGAGAUGAUCUACUAGUGUGAUUUAUGCUGAUGGAAUUUACCUCUGGAUCGCUUCUUUUGUAGCAGGAAGGGUAAAUACCAGUGACCUCAGCAGACCAGCUAAUCAUCCACAUCCCACCAGUUUGCAAGUGGACCAACCUUUGUGAAGAACUUGUGGCCACGGAUAUUCUGCGGUGACGGGCGAUCCCGUGGGUCGAUUUGAAAUAUUUUGCCCAUCAGUUUCCCAGCUUCAAUACCGAGGUUCUGGUGUAGAAUAAAUUUAGCUUCUUUGAUGUUCUUUAUCAUUUCACAGCGAUCGUCGUGAUCGAAUGGGAUUUCCCCAACCAGAAGCUGGUACCUGUAGUAAGAAAGGCAGCAAAGGUGUUUGAGGUCUUUCACAUUUGACAUAAAAAUGCUGUGCUUCCAAAAGAGCAAUUCCUCUCAACUGUGUGCCAGUAUUCAUUUUUCUUUUCUAUUUCAAGUAGAAAAA